Non-coding RNA from Thermochaetoides thermophila DSM 1495, 187 nucleotides. The record is from RefSeq and is a predicted model, not a curated record. Lineage: Eukaryota; Fungi; Ascomycota; Sordariomycetes; Sordariales; Chaetomiaceae.
UAAUGAGUUACCACAACUCCCAAACCCAUUGUGAACCUACCCUUCACGUUGCUUCGGCGGGUCGGGCGCUGUGCCGCCCCUCCGGGCGACCCGGGGCUCCCCAAAGGCCCCGGGCCCGCCGCCCGCCGGAGGUACGCAAACUCUUGUUCAUUGUACGGCCUCUCUGAGUGAAGUACUGAAUAAGUCA